GUGUCAACCGCCGCGGUAAUACGUAGGGGGCAAGCGUUGUCCGGAAUUAUUGGGCGUAAAGCGCGCGCAGGCGGUCUUUUAAGUCUGAUGUGAAAUCUCGUGGCUUAACCGCGAGCGGCCAUUGGAAACUGGGGGACUUGAGUACAGAAGAGGAGAGUGGAAUUCCACGUGUAGCGGUGAAAUGCGUAGAUAUGUGGAGGAACACCAGUGGCGAAGGCGACUCUCAGGUCUGUAACUGACGCUGAGGCGCGAAAGCGUGGGGAGCGAACAGGAUUAGAAACCCCUGUAGUCC
RNAcentral lists this ribosomal RNA (292 nucleotides) under uncultured prokaryote. RNAcentral's name for it is "partial 16S ribosomal RNA". It matches the Rfam family "Bacterial small subunit ribosomal RNA", at positions 505 to 796 of the family's 1533-position model. The record is from RNAcentral.